GAUGAACGCUGGCGGCGUGCCUAAUACAUGCAAGUCGAGCGAACAGAUGAGGAGCUUGCUCCUCUGACGUUAGCGGCGGACGGGUGAGUAACACGUGGAUAACCUACCUAUAAGACUGGGAUAACUUCGGGAAACCGGAGCUAAUACCGGAUAAUCUAUUGAACCGCAUGGUUCAAUAGUGAAAGACGGUUUUGCUGUCACUUAUAGAUGGAUCCGCGCCGCAUUAGCUAGUUGGUAAGGUAACGGCUUACCAAGGCAACGAUGCGUAGCCGACGUGAGAGGGUGAUCGGCCACACUGGAACUGAGACAGGGUCCAGGCGCCUACGGGAGGCAGCAGUAGGGAAUCUUCCGCAAUGGGCGAAAGCCUGACGGAGCAACGCCGCGUGAGUGAUGAAGGUCUUCGGAUCGUAAAACUCUGUUAUUAGGGAAGAACAAAUGUGUAAGUAACUAUGCACGUCUUGACGGUACCUAAUCAGAAAGCCACGGCUAACUACGUG
RNAcentral lists this ribosomal RNA (497 nucleotides) under uncultured bacterium. Its description in RNAcentral is "partial 16S ribosomal RNA". It matches the Rfam family "Bacterial small subunit ribosomal RNA", at positions 28 to 507 of the family's 1533-position model. The record is from RNAcentral.